This 470-nucleotide ribosomal RNA is filed under the name Listeria monocytogenes. Its description in RNAcentral is "partial 23S ribosomal RNA". It matches the Rfam family "Bacterial large subunit ribosomal RNA", at positions 415 to 887 of the family's 2925-position model. Lineage: Bacteria; Bacillati; Bacillota; Bacilli; Caryophanales; Listeriaceae. The record is from RNAcentral.
CGGCGGAACACGUGAAAUUCCGUCGGAAUCCGGGAGGACCAUCUCCCAAGGCUAAAUACUCCCUAGUGACCGAUAGUGAACCAGUACCGUGAGGGAAAGGUGAAAAGCACCCCGGAAGGGGAGUGAAACAGUUCCUGAAACCGUGUGCCUACAAGUAGUUAGAGCCCGUUAAUGGGUGAUAGCGUGCCUUUUGUAGAAUGAACCGGCGAGUUACGAUUUGUUGCAAGGUUAAGCGGAAAAAGCGGAGCCGUAGCGAAAGCGAGUCUGAAUAGGGCGCAUAAGUAACAGGUCGUAGACCCGAAACCAGGUGAUCUACCCAUGUCCAGGAUGAAGGUAAGGUAAUACUUACUGGAGGUCCGAACCCACGCACGUUGAAAAGUGCGGGGAUGAGGUGUGGGUAGCGGAGAAAUUCCAAUCGAACUUGGAGAUAGCUGGUUCUCUCCGAAAUAGCUUUAGGGCUAGCCUCGAGG